Molecule: ribosomal RNA, 387 nt
Filed under: uncultured bacterium
Lineage: Bacteria
Description: bacterial SSU rRNA
Rfam family: Bacterial small subunit ribosomal RNA
Source: RNAcentral
AUUGAACGCUGGCGGCAUGCCUUACACAUGCAAGUCGAACGGCAGCACGGACUUCGGUCUGGUGGCGAGUGGCGAACGGGUGAGUAAUGCAUCGGAACGUGCCAUUGAGUGGGGGAUAACGUAGCGAAAGUUGCGCUAAUACCGCAUAUUCUGUGAGCAGGAAAGCAGGGGACCGCAAGGCCUUGCGCUCUUUGAGCGGCCGAUGUCAGAUUAGCUAGUUGGUGAGGUAAAGGCUUACCAAGGCGACGAUCUGUAGCGGGGUCUGAGAGGAUGAUCCGCCACACUGGAACUGAGACACGGUCCAGACUCCUACGGGAGGCAGCAGUGGGGAAUUUUGGACAAUGGGGGCAACCCUGAUCCAGCCAUGCCGCGUGAGUGAAGAAGGCC